This 431-nucleotide ribosomal RNA is filed under the name uncultured Burkholderia sp. Its description in RNAcentral is "bacterial SSU rRNA". It matches the Rfam family "Bacterial small subunit ribosomal RNA", at positions 336 to 759 of the family's 1533-position model. Lineage: Bacteria; Pseudomonadati; Pseudomonadota; Betaproteobacteria; Burkholderiales; Burkholderiaceae. The record is from RNAcentral.
UUCCUACGGGAGGCAGCAGUGGGGAAUUUUGGACAAUGGGCGAAAGCCUGAUCCAGCAAUGCCGCGUGUGUGAAGAAGGCCUUCGGGUUGUAAAGCACUUUUGUCCGGAAAGAAAUCCUUGGCUCUAAUACAGUCGGGGGAUGACGGUACCGGAAGAAUAAGCACCGGCUAACUACGUGCCAGCAGCCGCGGUAAUACGUAGGGUGCGAGCGUUAAUCGGAAUUACUGGGCGUAAAGCGUGCGCAGGCGGUUUGCUAAGACCGAUGUGAAAUCCCCGGGCUCAACCUGGGAACUGCAUUGGUGACUGGCAGGCUAGAGUAUGGCAGAGGGGGGUAGAAUUCCACGUGUAGCAGUGAAAUGCGUAGAGAUGUGGAGGAAUACCGAUGGCGAAGGCAGCCCCCUGGGCCAAUACUGACGCUCAUGCACGAAAG